RNAcentral lists this ribosomal RNA (426 nucleotides) under uncultured bacterium. RNAcentral's name for it is "bacterial SSU rRNA". It matches the Rfam family "Bacterial small subunit ribosomal RNA", at positions 356 to 773 of the family's 1533-position model. The record is from RNAcentral.
AGGGAAUAUUGCGCAAUGGACGAAAGUCUGACGCAGCCACGCCGCGUGAGUGAAGAAGGUCUUCGGAUUGUAAAGCUCUGUCAUCCGGGAAAAACGGCUAUCUGGGGAAAGUUCAGGUAGCGUGAUGGUACCGGAGGAGGAAGCACCGGCAAACUCUGUGCCAGCAGCCGCGGUAAUACAGAGGGUGCAAGCGUUGUUCGGAAUUACUGGGCGUAAAGCGUGCGUAGUCGGUAUUGAGAGUCGCGGGUGAAAUCCCAGGGCUUAACCCUGGAACUGCCUGCGAGACCUCAGUACUAGAGUGUGAGAGGGGAUAGUGGAAUACCAAGUGUAGCGGUGAAAUGCGUAGAGAUUUGGUGGAACACCGGUGGCGAAGGCGGCUAUCUGGCUCACAACUGACGAUCAGGCACGAAAGCGUGGGGAGCAAAC